Molecule: unclassified non-coding RNA, 301 nt
Filed under: uncultured Dothideomycetes
Lineage: Eukaryota; Fungi; Ascomycota; Dothideomycetes
Description: sequence contains ITS1
Rfam family: 5.8S ribosomal RNA (bases 1-105)
Source: RNAcentral
GAAAUGCGAUAAGUAAUGUGAAUUGCAGAAUUCAGUGAAUCAUCGAAUCUUUGAACGCACAUUGCACCUAUUGGUAUUCCGAUAGGUAUGCCUGUUCGAACGUCAUUAAAACCUUCAAGCUCUGCUUGGUCUUGGUCGAUGCGAACCUCGCACGGCCGCAACCCGUUGGCUUUAUCAACUUUACACAAGCGUAGCAAUGUUACCGUUUGCUGUAGCGGUUGGUGAGCGCCAUUCAAACUUAACUUCUUGUUAAACUUUCAAACUUGACUUCGGAUCAGGUAGGGAUACCCGCUGAACUUAA